GAGAGGGUGAUCGGCCACACUGGGACUGAGACACGGCCCAGACUCCUACGGGAGGCAGCAGUAGGGAAUCUUCCACAAUGGACGAAAGUCUGAUGGAGCAACGCCGCGUGAGUGAUGAAGGUUUUCGGAUCGUAAAACUCUGUUGUAAGGGAAGAACAGAUACGAGAGGUAAUGCUCGUAUCCUGACGGUACCUUGCGAGAAAGCCACGGCUAACUACGUGCCAGCAGCCGCGGUAAUACGUAGGUGGCAAGCGUUGUCCGGAAUUAUUGGGCGUAAAGUGCGCGCAGGCGGCCUUUUAAGUCUGAUGUGAAAGCCCCCGGCUCAACCGGGGAGGGUCAUUGGAAACUGGAAGGCUUGAGUACAGAAGAGAAGAGUGGAAUUCCAUGUGUAGCGGUGAAAUGCGUAGAGAUGUGGAGGAACACCAGUGGCGAAGGCGACUCUUUGGUCUGUAACUGACGCUGAGGCGCGAAAGCGUGGGGAGCAAACAGGAUUAGAUACCCUGGUAGUCCACGCCGUAAACGAUGAGUGCUAGGUGUUGGGGGGUUUCCGCCCCUCAGUGCUGAAGCUAACGCAUUAAGCACUCCGCCUGGGGAGUACGGCCGCAAGGCUGAAACUCAAAGGAAUUGACGGG
This 632-nucleotide ribosomal RNA is filed under the name uncultured bacterium. RNAcentral's name for it is "bacterial SSU rRNA". It matches the Rfam family "Bacterial small subunit ribosomal RNA", at positions 294 to 917 of the family's 1533-position model. The record is from RNAcentral.